GGUUUUUCUGUGCUGAACCUCAGGGGACGCCGACACACGUACACGUCCCUUCGAUAGCUCAGCUGGUAGAGCGGAGGACUGUAGCUACUUCCUCAGCAGGAGACAUCCUUAGGUCGCUGGUUCGAUUCCGGCUCGAAGGAGACAAGUGCGGUUUUUUUCUCCAGCUCCCGAUGACUUAUGGCACUUUCCUUGGGUGCCUUCAGUGACACAUUGCAUUCCAACGAGCAGUUUGAAAGUCUAGCGCUUUCUCCCCAUUUUGGGCCUCCCAGCCUGCACGAUGUCUGCAUUUCCAGGGACUCAUCUGAGGCUAAGCUGCCCAUAGUUCGGGGAGACCCACAGGGAAAACAAAACAAGAAACAGAGAACUUGGAAACGGACGCUGAUUACUUUGAACGUUUGCUCAACCGAGGAAGCAGGAACUGUUCGGCCCCAUCUCAAGUCCGCAGGGCGGACUGCCUGGCUCUGGGCAGAUCCGAGGUGGAUAGGACAAGGCAAAAGGUAGCCCUGGAGAGGUGAGUGGAUAAAGUCCCUGGACACAGGGGCUGCCGUUGGAGGAGGUUGUAAUGUCAUUGUCCUCCUGUGGAAGUUAACUGUGGAGAAUUAACUAGAGACCAGCGCUGAGAGAGAAUUAAUUGGAUAAAAGUUCUAUCUAGGACAGUCCUUGAGCGUAAUUUUGUGAAGCAAACACAAGACAACAACAAAACGAGUAAAACCUAAACACACAUCCACACACUCACUGAAAGAUUCAGAGAUUGCACAGAACACAAAGACUUUUCUGGUAAUAAAAUCUCCCUAUCCUAAUUUUCUAGAAAAAAAGCUGUUGAAGCCACCGCGCAGUUCUUACAAGACAUAACACAAAUCUUCCACACAAAGGCAGAAAUACAGUAUCAACCUUUGUGAGGAGUACAGCAAAUAAAUGAUGUUUCUUUAG
Molecule: long non-coding RNA, 930 nt
Organism: Homo sapiens (human)
Lineage: Eukaryota; Metazoa; Chordata; Mammalia; Primates; Hominidae
Source: Ensembl